RNAcentral lists this ribosomal RNA (655 nucleotides) under Chloridium chloroconium. RNAcentral describes it as "partial large subunit ribosomal RNA". It matches the Rfam family "Eukaryotic large subunit ribosomal RNA", at positions 81 to 768 of the family's 3401-position model. Lineage: Eukaryota; Fungi; Ascomycota; Sordariomycetes; Chaetosphaeriales; Chaetosphaeriaceae. The record is from RNAcentral.
CAGUAACGGCGAGUGAAGCGGCAACAGCUCAAAUUUGAAAUCUGGCCCUCGGGUCCGAGUUGUAAUUUGCAGAGGAUGCUUCGGGCGCGGUGCCUUCCAAGUCCCCUGGAACGGGGCGCCGGAGAGGGUGAGAGCCCCGUACGGUUGGCGGCCAAGCCUAUGUGAAGCUCCUUCGACGAGUCGAGUAGUUUGGGAAUGCUGCUCUAAGCGGGAGGUAGACCCCUUCUAAAGCUAAAUAUUGGCCAGAGACCGAUAGCGCACAAGUAGAGUGAUCGAAAGAUGAAAAGCACUUUGAAAAGAGGGUUAAAUAGCACGUGAAAUUGUUGAAAGGGAAGCGCUUGCGACCAGACGUGCGCCGGGGUGCUCAGCGGGCGUUCUCGCCCGUGCACUCGCCCCGGUGCAGGCCAGCGUCGGUUUGAGCGGGGGGAUAAAGGCGCCUGGAACGUGGCUCCCUCGGGAGUGUUAUAGCCAGGCGUGCCAUGCCCCCGCCCAGACCGAGGUACGCGUUCUGCAAGGACGCUGGCGUAAUGGUCCCCAGCGACCCGUCUUGAAACACGGACCAAGGAGUCGAGGUUUUGCGCGAGUGUUUGGGUGUCAAACCCGCACGCGUAAUGAAAGUGAACGUAGGUGGGAGCUUCGGCGCACCACCGACCGA